UGACCUCGGAUCAGGUAGGAAUACCCGCUGAACUUAAGCAUAUCAAUAAGCGGAGGAAAAGAAACCAACAGGGAUUGCCUCAGUAACGGCGAGUGAAGCGGCAACAGCUCAAAUUUGAAAUCUGGCCCUAGGCCCGAGUUGUAAUUUGCAGAGGAUGCUUUUGGCGAGGUGCCUUCCGAGUUCCCUGGAACGGGACGCCAUAGAGGGUGAGAGCCCCGUCUGGUCGGACACCAAGCCUCUGUAAAGCUCCUUCGACGAGUCGAGUAGUUUGGGAAUGCUGCUCUAAAUGGGAGGUAUAUGUCUUCUAAAGCUAAAUACCGGCCAGAGACCGAUAGCGCACAAGUAGAGUGAUCGAAAGAUGAAAAGCACUUUGGAAAGAGAGUUAAACAGCACGUGAAAUUGUUGAAAGGGAAGCGUUCACGACCAGACUUGGGCCGGUUGAUCAUCCAGCGUUCUCGCUGGUGCACUCUGCCGGCCCAGGCCAGCAUCAGUUCGCCCCGGGGGACAAAGACGGCGGGAAUGUGGCUCCUCCGGGAGUGUUAUAGCCCAUCGUGCAAUACCCUGUGGUGGACUGAGGUUCGCGCUCUGCAAGGAUGCUGGCGUAAUGGUCGUCAACGACCCGUCU
RNAcentral lists this ribosomal RNA (625 nucleotides) under Melanopsamma pomiformis. Its description in RNAcentral is "eukaryotic LSU rRNA". It matches the Rfam family "Eukaryotic large subunit ribosomal RNA", at positions 1 to 654 of the family's 3401-position model. The record is from RNAcentral. Lineage: Eukaryota; Fungi; Ascomycota; Sordariomycetes; Hypocreales; Stachybotryaceae.